RNAcentral lists this ribosomal RNA (563 nucleotides) under uncultured bacterium. Its description in RNAcentral is "partial 16S ribosomal RNA". It matches the Rfam family "Bacterial small subunit ribosomal RNA", at positions 355 to 1375 of the family's 1533-position model. The record is from RNAcentral.
UGGGGAAUAUUGCACAAUGGGCGAAAGCCUGAUGCAGCAACGCCGCGUGAGUGAUGAAGGCCUUCGGGUUGUAAAGCUCUGUCUUUUGGGACGAUAAUGACGGUACCAAAGGAGGAAGCCACGGCUAACUACGUGCCAGCAGCCGCGGUAAUACGUAGGUGGCAAGCGUUGUCCGGAUUUACUGGGCGUAAAGGAUGCGUAGGCGGAUUUUUAAGUGAGAUGUGAAAACCCUAAGCUUAACUUGGGGACUGCAUUUCAUACUGGAAAUCUAGAGUGCGGGAGAGGAGAAUGGAAUUCCUAGUGUAGCGGUGAAAUGCGUAGAGAUUAGGAAGAACACCAGUGGCGAAGGCGAUUCUCUGGACCGUAACUGACGCUGAGGCAUGAAAGCGUGGGUAGCAAACAGGAUUAGAUACCCUGGUAGUCCACGCCGUAAACGAUGAGUACUAGGUGUAGGAGGUAUCGACCCCUUCUGUGCCGCAGUUAACACAAUAAGUACUCCGCCUGGGAAGUACGAUCGCAAGAUUAAAAACUCAAAUGAAUUGACGGGGUCAUAGCUGUUUCCU